GUGAGGGGGCGGGCGAGGCGCCGCCUCGGACCGCGGCGCUAACUGGCUGCGGACCGGAGCCCCAGCGCCACGGGCGCCGCUCCCAAUGCUGAUUGGUGGCGGCUGGGGAGGGGGCGUGCGCGGCACGCGCAGCGGGGAGGUGAGGGAAAGUAGGGGAGAGCCGACCCAGGCGGAGGCUCGCCUCGAUUCCAGAGCUGGACCCUGGGCUGGAACAGGUGAUCAGGCCUGGGCCUCCCUGGGUCUGGUGGUGAGGGUCGCCGAAGACAGGGUUCGGGAUGGCGGGCGGGGGAUGCCCCAGGGUUUACUCACCCACCUUCCAGCCUAGGAUGGCCCUGGGCUGCGGACUGAGAAGCCCUCUUUUUGCCUCCUAGCUUCUCGCCAACUUGCGCAAGAAAAGCCGUGGAAGGUAGGACACGGGGGAGAUCUCAGGAUGCACCUCUUACAACGUAGCCGCCCAGCGACCCAGUAACUUUGAUCGCACAGGGCUCAGGAACGUUUUCUGGCGAAUGAAAUACUCACAAACCUCCAAGGCUCAGAGAGCUUUCGGUUUUAGUAAAUAGCGGAGGUGCGCUGGAGUUUCCCACAGGACUAGAGCCUUCCUACAGGUGUUCAGUCUGGGGCCAUUCGCUGGUGACUUAGGUUGGAGUGAGGGCAGGGCCAGAAAAUCGUCUCAUCCGUCACAGAGGUUAGGACAGUGAUGAUGAUGAUGGGUGUGAAGCCUCUCUCCCCUGGGGGGUCUGGAUUGAAAUCUAGGGUGUAUGCAAUUUGAAAAAUAGCAUAUCCAACAUUAUAAUUUAAUGCUUUGAGGCAAAUAAGAUUUUUAUUUGUAAAAACAUUGGAGAACAAAAUGUAGAUACUUUUUGAUUGACUGAUAGGAUGACAGGUUGUCUUGCCUUUCCCAGGAAGAGGUAAUUUUUUUCCCCCUUUAAGAUCAAAAGAAGGAAAGUUUUGAGGCACUGAGGGCUCUUCUAGGAUGUGACCUAGAUAUUGCACAGUAAAAUGCAUGGUCUGGGCCAGUGGCAGGUCAAGGCUUUCCUUCCCGGGCUCUGGACCGUGCAGUGGGUAUUGAAACUAAGAGAUGGGAUCCCUGAGGUCGGAAGCCCUGGUUAGGCCCGAAGUCACACUUCCAGGUCUGGCUGUACCCUUCAGGUUUAGGAUGGCCUGGCAGAGGAUGCUAAUGUUGGCCUGGGCUGACAUUAAAAUGAAUGAGUGGGUGAAUCAGUGUUAGUGGUGGAAGAGGUCUUUGGGCUCAUUACUACUAGUCUUUACAGAUGAAGAAAAUGAGCUUCUGAAGAGAAAGACUUUUUUGAGGUUACACAGUUAACUGUGUGACAGCCACCACCAGGACUGGGGCCCAAUCUCUCUUGACCCUGUGGCUUCCCCACCAUACCAUGUCUAGAAGAUAUUUCAAGAGAUGGAAUUGGUACAUGCAUGGACAGAAUUCAAAUGCAGAGCAAGGGAAGGUGGAAAGAGUAAUGAGAUGGUCUGAUGUGCCUGUGGCUUGGGCCCCUACCUGCAGGAAGCAAUCCAAGGCCUGCUGGCAGGCACAGGGAAGGACUUGAGGCAGUAAAGUGGUGCCUGUUCUGAUCACCUGUUGGGUUAGGGCUCUUAGCCCCGGACAAAAGGUGAUAUGAGACCUGCAACCAGGCAGUAGUACAAUCCACUUGCCCAUACAGUUCCUCAUUCAAGUUUGUGUUGGCACUCAAGUUAAAAAGUCAUCCUUUAUUUCUUCCCCCUCUUCCACGAAAAAUAAAUAGAAGAGCCCAAGUGCUCUGGGACUCCCACAGAAGCCUGGCAGGUUUGCUGACACUGAACUUGAGCUCUUCUUGCAGGCCCCAGAGUGGUAUGAAGAUUAUUAUUCUAUAAAUGGAAAAUUCCACCGUGAUCCUGCACCUGCAUAUCUCCAAGGGAUGCAGACUUUUUGAGCUCUGAAGAGUGGGAACCAUCAUUCUGAGAAAAAGUUCAGCAAGGAAAGUUUAAAACUACUGUGUCUGCUCCCUCUGGGUCAGGCCCAACGAAGGAAGGCAAACAAACGGAGACCUUCUUUCUUGCCCCACAUAGUUCUUAUGUAAUGGAAUGAGGAGAAUAAGAACUUGGAUAUUAACUUGAAUAAGAACAAAUGCCUUGCUGGGGACUUGCAGCCUGAGUGAGUGGGCAGUGGUGACAGGACAGAGAUGCCCCAGAAGGAAGUGGAAGGAACAAGUGUGUUCUGGAGUCUGGCCACGUGCUAUUUCCGUGGCUGCUCACCUUGCUCGUUGUCACCGUUGCCCGCUGUCAAGCAGGCAUUUGGCCCAAAAGGAAAGUCUGAAAGUGGAAGCGAAGCAUAAAGGUGUUUGUCAUGGGCGCAUGCUGGGCAUAGUACCCUGGAAGCCUUUGCUGUUAGUCACCAUAGAAGGGGCAAAGUGGCAGCUGCUCCAGCUCUGGGAGUCUGGAACGAAACAGGUGGAAGUAGCCAGGGUGUGGACAUUUCUCCAGAGGACACCCUCAGACAGUCAAGGCAAGAAGACGGCCAGGGCUGUUUCCUUUGCUGGCAGAAGAGCUGAACCCUGAGAGACUGCACACAGGCCUUGUGCUCUUCAGAAGCAUGAAGUCAGCCCUGCGGAAUGAGGCAGCUUGGCUGGUGUCCAGCAGCUCUAGAGGUGCUGUUUGUCGGGCUCUGGGUUCUUGCUGGCCUGCUUGCCAAGCUUUUGCAAGGGGCCAGAAGUGCUUUAGUUGCCCCAGCUGUGGGGUUGCAGGGGUGAGGAGGGGCUGGCAUGGGGGGGAUCUUGCCUGCAGAGUGUUGACUCUGUCCAUGUCAUGCCUCUGGAAGCAUCCCUUGCUGAAAUGGGGAGCUUGCUGGGCCAGGUUGCAAAGACACAGGUGGCCUUGGAUGAGGAACCUAACGCCUCUGAGCCACAGCUCUUUCCUCUGAAAAGUGAAGGGACUCCUCAUGUAAAGUGGCAGCCGCUUACAGGUUUAAGACAAGCAGAAAACAUCUCAUUUCCCCUGGUCACAGUGGGGGUAAGAAGAGGGCUGCUGACCCAGUCCUGGGGUGACUUGGUGACUGUUUGCACAAGAUAACUCAGCAUACUGGAAGCGUACACUUCCUUGUUUGAGCCACUUGGAGCUGGGUAUUCUUGUAGCUGACUCGGUUGACAAAAUUGCCUGUGUGUAGACAAGGUCUCAAAGGGAUAGGGGGGAUUGAGGGCAGGUGCUUUAGGGUAUCACUUUCCCCUGCCUGUGGGCUAAAGGCUCCCAGCUGAUAGGAAUAAUUCCUCUACGUGUCUCUCCAGCGGCUCCCACCUCGCCCAGCUGCCCUGUAGGGCUAGGGCUGAUUCGCUCUGCUACUGCAGAGACUCCUGCUGCUAAGAAGUAGCAGGGCUGAGACUUGCACCUUUGUUGUUCUCACUCCAAGCUGGGUGUGUGCCUCUUCAGAUGCACCAGGUCGUUCUUGGGGUAGCUGAGUUUCUGCUAGGGGGGUUGGAAAGGCCAGCAGUGCACAGCAGUGGGAAGGGACAGAGCAAGUACCACUUGGGGCAAAAUGGGUACAUCACAUACCAUGUCAGAUGUCCCCCAAACAAAAUCAAGUCCAUUUAAAAGCACUCUAGUGGGGCACGGUGGCACAUUCCUUUAAUCCCAGCAAUUUGGAGGCUAGGGCAGGAGGGUUACAAGCUCAAGGCUAGUCUGGACAAUUUAGUGAGACUUUGUUUCAAAAUAAAAAGGGUUGAGGGUGUAGCUCAGCAGCAGAGCACUUGCCUAGACUGUGGGAGUCUCUGGGUCUGAUCUCCAGCAUGGCCAAAAACCAAAUAAAAAAUAAAUAAAUUUACCAUAUGACCUGUACUCUUAGAGCAUGUAUGUGCCCAAGAGAAAUGAAAACAGAGGUCCAAAGCCUAGUACACCAGUAUUCUUAGCAGAAUCAUUCAUAAUAGCCUGAAUAUAAUCCACCAACUGAUGAAUAAACAAAGUGUGGUAUAUCCACAGAAUGAA
This is a long non-coding RNA of Marmota monax (woodchuck), 3966 nucleotides long. RefSeq lists it as uncharacterized. The transcript has 3 exons. Lineage: Eukaryota; Metazoa; Chordata; Mammalia; Rodentia; Sciuridae. The record is from RefSeq and is a predicted model, not a curated record.